This 76-nucleotide transfer RNA is filed under the name Oligosphaeraceae bacterium. Its description in RNAcentral is "tRNA-Thr". It matches the Rfam family "tRNA". From Rfam's summary of the family: Transfer RNA (tRNA) molecules are approximately 80 nucleotides in length. Their secondary structure includes four short double-helical elements and three loops (D, anti-codon, and T loops). The record is from RNAcentral. Lineage: Bacteria; Pseudomonadati; Lentisphaerota; Oligosphaeria; Oligosphaerales; Oligosphaeraceae.
GCCUACAUAGCUCAGUAGGUAGAGCGCAUCCUUGGUAAGGAUGAGGUCUCCGGUUCGACUCCGGAUGUAGGCUCCA